CGAACGCUGGCGGCGUGCUUAACACAUGCAAGUCGAACGCGAAAGGGACUUCGGUCCUGAGUAAAGUGGCGCACGGGUGAGUAACGCGUAGAUAACCUGUCUUCAUGUCUGGAAUAAUACGCCGAAAGGGGUACUAAUACCGGAUAUUCUUGCUUUUCAUAAGUUAUGCAAGCAAAGGUGGCCUCUGCAUAUGCUACUGCAUGAAGAGGGGUCUGCGUACCAUUAGCUAGUAGGUGGGGUAAUGGCCUACCUAGGCGACGAUGGUUAGCGGGUCUGAGAGGAUGAUCCGCCACACUGGCACUGGAACACGGGCCAGACUCCUACGGGAGGCAGCAGUGAGGAAUAUUGCGCAAUGGGGGAAACCCUGACGCAGCGACGCCGCGUGAGUGAGGAAAGGCCUUCGGGUCGUAAAGCUCUGUCAAGAGGAAAGAAGUGUACAAUGGCUAAUACCUGUUGUAUUUGACGGUACCUCUAAAGGAAGCACCGGCUGACUCCGUGCCAGCAGCCGC
This 509-nucleotide ribosomal RNA is filed under the name uncultured bacterium. RNAcentral's name for it is "bacterial SSU rRNA". It matches the Rfam family "Bacterial small subunit ribosomal RNA", at positions 30 to 518 of the family's 1533-position model. The record is from RNAcentral.